GAGGAAUACCAAUCUUAGUUGU
Molecule: non-coding RNA, 22 nt
Filed under: Arabidopsis thaliana (thale cress)
Lineage: Eukaryota; Viridiplantae; Streptophyta; Magnoliopsida; Brassicales; Brassicaceae
Source: RNAcentral